CUGGGAUAUUUGACUCCUAACACAGGAUCCUUUCUACUCUACUGAGCUACACAUUUAUUCUGAUGGGCAAAGACACUUUAGCGAUGUUUGAUAUGGGCAAUGAUUCAACUCAUCACAUGACUCUGCUUUCGCCUUUAGGUAGAUUGAUAUACCUCAAAGUAAUUCGCAUCUACAAUUGUUAAACUGAGAUCUGAGUGAUGUUGGGACCAGGCUUUGUGAGUUGCCCUUCACUGGCAAGCUUCGCUUUAACACAGCAAAGUCUAUCCUGCCUGUACCUGAAUUGCCCUCUUGAAACAAGUAACCAGUGUCAUCUUUCUCUUGAACGGGCUGGCACUGCUGUGAUAUCAGUGAUCACGUGAUAUUCCAAAAGGCAACUGUGAUCUCUAGCUUCAAGGUGUUAGCAAUCCAUUUGGAGAAAAUGAAGUUUGUUGUUAAGCUCCUGGCAGUUUCUAGCAGAGCUGGAUUGAACAAUAGGGUCCUUAAAUCACCUGGAAUAUCCCUGAGUACUGCAUAAAUGUUACUCAAUAUUUAAACUGGAUAAGACGUCACAGAACCUCAGGUUUCACAAAAGCAGAGCUUCAAUUGUCAAAGGUAUUGGGAUCUUGGGAAUUAUUUAGAUAGGUUACCUUAUUUUGGAAAGGAAGAAUUUACCCACCAUUUCUGUGGGCAGGGGAAGUGGGGAAUGGGAGCUAGAGUUUCAUUAGUUAAUUUGCUUUAAGGAACUACAGAAGUAAACAGAUGCUUGGCAAGCACCAACCACAUAAGAGGCAACAUGCAUUUUCUAAAUGCAUGUGGAUGUUCCUCUGUAUAACUUCAGACUAUCCCAGCAUCAUUUCAUAAGCAAGUAUCCCAGCCCUCAGAAAUGUUGGGAACCAAUAGGGAGGCAAUAAUAUGUAGCAGCCUUUCCUUCCCUUUCUUGGCUCCACAUCCUAGUCCAGUGCCAUUAUCCACCAGCUUCUCUGGCCCACUUUUCACAUGGUCAUCACUGACUAUGGCAUAUAUAUCUAUAUCUACUCUAUCUAUCUAUCUAUCUAUCUUCUAUCUAUUGAUAUCUAUAUCUAUAUCCAGAACGUAGUUCUUUUCCCAGCCCCAGACAAGGUGGGGAAUAGCCUGACUCUCUCUCCUUCUACCUUCAAAUUGCAAGAUAUUGUUUUUGUAUGUCUCAUCUCUUUCAAGGCUGCCUCAGCAUUCAGCAUAACCUGAGCUGACUUGGGUAAGAGCAUGAGUUAGGAGAAGGUCCUCAGAGAAUUAUAAUCCUGAGUCCAGACCUUCCAGAGAGGAGCCAGGCUGCAGAGCUUCCUAAGGCAAAAAUCGUCUGAUACAAUUUAAGAAGUAGAACUCUCACCAGCUUGGGGAGAAAGCAAAAAAUGCCAGUAAGCUGCUUCUCACUGAGCACAUAAAACAGUGGCACCCAAAAGCUUGUUUUCUGUUUAAUAAAUUAAAGAAAUCCAUCACAAAUGGAACCCAGGGCUGAGUGACCACAUCAUAGUUGACUCAGUGGGUGUGAUGAAUAAAUUGCCUGUUUUAUGAUUGAGACAUUCCCCAAAGUAACAUUAAAGUAAUGAAAAUUGUGAGGGAUUGUUCUUUCUAGAGAAAGAGGAUGCUACUGACCUACCAACAGCAGCCAAAAAUGUUUUCAACAGUGAGAAAGGAUUUACAAUGUUACAAAUGAGAACUAAUUGAAAGUGCUGACCCAUAGCUGUGAAGCAGAGCCCAUCCCACAGACGUUUGAGCUGCAUUAGUGGGCAUUCCCAACCAUCAUCCCUGCCACAGCAACUUCCAUUCUUUUACACUCAAAAAGGAGUAUGCAGGUUUGAUGAAACCUCCAGAUGAUUAGUGCUUGACGCCUCCCCCCAUACACACAAAAGCAGCUGGCCUUCAAUAAACUUACAACUGUGUAAGCAAUAAAAUCAUAUAUUGAAAUAAUACAUACACGUGCAAUAUUGUAUUAAAACACACAGAAAGGGAAAUGACUAAUUCUUAAUUAAAUAUUUUCCAAAGAAAUCUCCAUAUUUCUAGAUUGCCAUUCUCUAGAUAAUAAGUUAAACAAAUAUGUAUUGUAACCCACGCAGAGGUGAAAGGUAUUUUACUGGUAGCAUUUUAAUAUGGGAGGGCAGUGAACUUUUGUUUGGGGCUCUGAGGCAGUAGUUUGUAUCAGACUCAUCCUUUGAUGGAAGAACUAUAAAAACCAUUUUUUUUUUAAAGUAAAUUCUGUCUGAAUAUUACAGAAAAACAAAACAAAACAAAACCAUGCAGUCAAGAGUUGAGGAUUCUGGAUCCCAAAUCCUUGAGAAAUUUGCCAGGAUCCAGAGAAAGGGUGAUGCUUGGAUGUGAGCCCCACAAGCCCUUGGGGAAGAGUCUGACUUGGGGCACAGGGCAUGGAAACAAAACAGAAAACAGGAGCAUGGACUUUGCAGUGCUCUCACUACACUGCAGAGAUAAAAAUCAAACUUUUCAUUGAGGAAGCAAGAAAGUAUUUGGAAAUGAGUGACAUGUGUGCAGUGCAGAAAGAGUAGUGCUUAAGGGGGAAAUUUUAAAGCUUUAAAUGAAUUUACUAGAAGAGGGAGGGGAAAAAAAAAACCUAAAAAUCAGUGAUCUAAUAAGCAUCCAACUCAAAAAAUCUAGAAGAACAAAUUAAGCAUAUUAAAUAAAAAGGAUGAGAAGGAAAUAGCAAUUUUAAAAAAAGAGAUCAGUACUUAGUGAAAUAAAAACAAAUCCUCAACUGGAACAAUUUAAGGGCCAAAUGUUGGUUCUUUGAAAAUAUUAAUAUAAUUUCUAAAUCUCCAGAAAUACAGAUCUAAAAAAGUAAAGAGAAGGGAGAUGUUAGAAACAAAUUAUUAAUAUCAAGAAUAAAAAUAGGAAUUUUUAACCCACUGUGGCACAGCAGGAACUCCCAAAACUGAUUUAAAUAAAGAAGUAGAAAGUUCAAAUAAUGCUAUUACCUAUGAAAAGACUGAUUUUUAAACCUUCCCACAAAGAAAACUCUGGACACAGAUGCUUAAAAGAGAAUCAUUCUAAAUACUUUGUGAAGCAAAAAUUUCAAUCUUGCACAAACUUUUUAGAGUCUAGACAUAGGGAGAAUACUUCCCAACUCAUGUUACGAGACCAUCACAAUCUUGACAAUGACACCAGAUAAAGACAUUAUAAAGAAAAAUUAUAAAUCAAUCUUUCCUGUGUACAGAGGUACAAACAUACUAAAUAAAAGAGUAGCACGGUGAACCCAACAUUAUGGAAAAGCAUCAUAUAUCCCCAUGAAAUUGGGUUUAAACCAAGAAUGUAAGGUCAAUUUAUUGCUCUGAAAUCAAUUACUGUAAUUCAUUACACCCAUCCAUUACACUUAAGAACAAAAGCAUGUAACCGUUUCAAUAAAUGCAAAAGAACAAGUAAAUAAAAACAUUAUGACCAUUCAUGACUGAAAUAAAACAAGGCAACAACAAAUUCCUCAUAGAAAAAUAGACAGAGGGAAUUUUUUUGUAUGAAAAGGAGUUUCUUCAAAGAAAAUGUAUAGCAAAAUCAUACGUGAAAUACUAGAAAAUUUCUUCCUGAGAUAAGAAUAUCUCAGGAGAUAAGGAUAGCCCCAUUGCCAUUUAACGGUGUCCUGGAAGUCCUUCCAAUGCCAUAAAGCAAGAAUAAGAAAUAAAAUAUACAUAGAUUGAAGAGGAGAUAUGAAAGUGUACAUAGAAAAUCCAAAAGAUAAACUAUUAGAAUCAGUAAGUGAAUUUAUCCAAGUCAGUGGAUAUAAAGUAAAUAUGCAAAAUAAACCAUACACAUAAAAUACCCACAAAUAAUGAGAAAAUAAGAUUAACAUAAAUUUUAAGUAUCUAGUAUUAUACUAAUAGUUAUGUGCAAGAAGGAAACAUUUUGAAAAGAAAUUAAAGACGACCUAAAUCAAUAUAGCAUAUAUCGUGUCCAUGAAUCAGAUGACAAAAGCGUAGGAAAGCCAUUCGGCUCCAUAUUGAUUUAUAAAUUCUAUGCACUCCUAAUCAAAAUCUCAAGAGGUAUUUUUGUGAAGUUUGAAAAGUUGAUUUAAAUCAAUGUGGAAAUGUUAAAGACCAAGAGUAGCCAUGACACAGUCCUGGAAGAAGAAAGACAAAGUUGAUGGCCUUAUUACUGGUUAAAGGAUAGAUGAUAAAUAUAUUGAACAAAAUAUUCCAGAAACAUACGCGUAUAUCUACAAAUACUUCACUGACGACAAAGUGUCAUCACAAGUAGUGAAAAUGAUCAUUGCUUUUGCAUUUCUUCCCAAUAAAUGGUGCUGUGUGAAUUCGAUGUCCACACAGGGAAAGAAAAAAUGAGUCUUGAAUCUCACCUCACUAUCUUAUAUCAUACACAAAAAAUUAAUUCCAGAUGCAACAGAUUUCAAUAUAAAAAGUAAAUAAUAUAUUUUCUGGAAAAUAAUAUAAGAAGAUAUAGUCACGAGCUUAGGAUGGGCAAAGAUCUUUUAAAUAGGCUAUGAAAACACUAUUCAUAAGAAAAUGAUAGAUAAGCUAGACUUCAUUAAUUUCAGAACAGCUGGACCAUUGAUGCUCUCCCCUUUCAUGUUCUAAAAGAAUCUGGACUAUCCAACUUUUUAAAUUCAUAAUUAUUUAAAUUUUUCAAAAACCAACAUAUAGGUGAAUUAACUAUGUCUAAUUAACAGAAACUUUGUGCCCCCGCCAAAAAAAUCAAAACCUUGACCAUUUCAAGAACAUGGAAUUGCUCAAUAGAAAUGCAAGAGACAGUUAUUUGAUUAUAAUUCAGCAAAUCCUAUUUCAAGUAAUAUAGUAGGGAGCUAAGUCUAUUCUAUAGAAAGCAAUUUAAGACUCAAAAGUGCUUUAAAAGGGAAAAGUUAAUCAAAAUGUCUAUGAACAUCUGGCUUCACUCUUUUUUUAGUUAGGCUUGUCUGAAGCACAGUUCCGACAGAACUAACCCAUUCAGGCGCAGCCUAAAAAUGGAGCCAACUAAACACUGAAAGACUAUCAGAGAAAAGGCAAGUGACUGUAUGAAAUGUGUACAGAGAUUCUGUCUCAGAGAACAAAGCCCAGAGGAAUGUCUUCAAUAUUUAUCAUAGAAGGUAGACUUUAGAGCUCCAUCUUAAAUCAUUACCUAUAGUUAAUAGAUCCUUUUAUUAAACUGUGUGUGUGUUGAGGGAAGCACGAUCUAAUUCCAAGAAUAGGAAGAGAAUAAGAACAACACUCUGUCCUCUGAAAGCCAUGAGUAAUUCACAUUCAUAUGUAUAAAUAAAACAGUCCUCCACUACAAGACUAUGCAAUUUUUCAAAAAAGGGAAAAAAUGGGGGGGGGUGGCUUCAUGCAUUAUAAAGCAAAAAGAUAGAGCUGCAAGAUAAUAGGUUCGACAGGCAGUAUUGGCUACGUAAUUUGUACACCUGAUGCCAAAUGAAAAUGGAAGGCCCCUUGUUCAAAAAUGAUUUAGCGUUUCGACAGUUGGCGAUAGCAGAGCAUUAAUCCAAGGGCAGGGCUCUUCUGGGCACUGGGCCCUCGGUGGCUACCCCAUGAGGCUGACCCUGUUUGCAGGCAAGCAUUACACUCAAAAACCAGGCUUUCCUUCCACACUUGCCUACAGGGAGGACUGCACCAUCAGCAGCACUGUCUGUGACUCCAGAGAACCACCAUGUGGACGUCUGGAUUCCGUAUGCUUUUCGCUAUGAGGUUAGACAGAAAGAGGAUCCUCGCACUGAAUCUUACUGUGCUUUUGCUUCUGAAAAUGAUAGCUUGCUGAUUCAAGGCUGUGAUUUUCAGAACGCAUUCCCAUUUCUAUUUCCAGUCUCGUGUUCCUUAGACUGCCCCAAAAGAAAGCUUUGUGUGUGUGAUGAUUCUUUUUUUUCAAACCCAGCCCAGUAAGCUUUCAAACCCAGUCAAUCAGAAAUGAUACGUGUGCAUAUAAUAUCUAUCUCGCUUGAAUUCCAUCAGUUGAUACAGAGUGUGGGACUGACUAUUUAGAAUAUUUAAUACUGAGAACAAAAGAAUGCCAUUCCUGGAGUUCCCGUCGUGGCUCAGCAGUUAAUGAACCCGACCGGCAUCCAUGAGGACACAGGUUCAAUCUCUGGCCUCCCUCAGUGGCUUAAGGAUCCUUUGUUGCCGUGGCUGCGGCAUAGGCCGGCAGCUGUAGCUCCAAUUAGACCCCUAGCCUGGGCACAUCCAUAUGCCACGGGCACAGCUCUAAAAAGCAAGAAAAAAAAAAA
This 6181-nucleotide long non-coding RNA is filed under the name Sus scrofa (pig). RNAcentral describes it as "lncRNA (ENSSSCG00060062966.1)". The record is from RNAcentral. Lineage: Eukaryota; Metazoa; Chordata; Mammalia; Artiodactyla; Suidae.